This 255-nucleotide ribosomal RNA is filed under the name uncultured bacterium. RNAcentral describes it as "partial 16S ribosomal RNA". It matches the Rfam family "Bacterial small subunit ribosomal RNA", at positions 524 to 776 of the family's 1533-position model. The record is from RNAcentral.
UACAGAGGGGGGCAAGCGUUUGUUCGGAAUUACUGGGCGUAAAGGGCGCGUAGGCGGCCUUCUAAGUCGAACGUGAAAUCCCCGGGCUCAACCCGGGAACUGCGUCCGAUACUGGAAGGCUUGAAUCCGGGAGAGGGAUGCGGAAUUCCAGGUGUAGCGGUGAAAUGCGUAGAUAUCUGGAGGAACACCGGUGGCGAAGGCGGCAUCCUGGACCGGCAUUGACGCUGAGGCGCGAAAGCCAGGGGAGCAAACAGG